AGCCCCAGUGCUUCAGGGCACCUGGGAAUGGUGCUCCUCAGGUUAAUGGCAGAGUAGCCCUGUGCUGCCAGGUUGGAGCCUGGCCCUGCAGUGAGGUUGGCUCUGAGCAGAGAUACGAGGAGAGGAGAGGCUCUGGGACUUCAUGGGGCUCUGAAGGUUGCUGAGAGGGGAGUGAAAUGAAGGGCUGAAAGAGGAGUUGUUAUGACUGGAUAAACACAUUUGUACACCCCGUCUUCAGAAGUGCUGUCAGCAGGGGACUGCAGCAGCUCUCUGAGCUCAUCCAGGGACUGAUUGGAAUUCCCUGCUCAUAGCAAUAGCAGGAUCAAUAUCAUUAUUGUUAAUGGUCGCUGCGUGUGUGGCUCCAGAUGAAAACAGCUACCACGUGUUGGGUUGCUCUCAGCCAAGCCAUUCCAGCACCAUGCUCUUGCUGUGCCCAGCUGAGCGUGAGGACGUGGCACAACAGCCCUGCCGUGUCAGUGGUGGGGAUGCGUGCUGCAGUGAAGUGUCAAGCUGCUUCCACAGGCUGCUUGGAUAGCACAGCUUCAUUUCUUGCUAUGGAAACAAUACAGCCAAAGAUAAGAAAACAAUGGCAGAGAGAGAGAGGCUGAACAACUUUGAAGGGGUUUGAAGGUUAUCUAAUGCUCUCAUCACCGAAGUAUACAACCACUUACUAGUGUUCUGUCAUGCAAACAUGCUCUCUUUUCAAAGAUGUCAGCAUGAAUCUAACUUCCAAGAGCAGGAUCACACUUCUGUGCAGCAUGAGGACAAUAAAUGAAAAGCACCUUCCAACAGAGGAUGGUUCCCUAGAAAUGGUUUUGCCCAGUGACGCUGCAUCUCAACCGUGAUGCACCCCAUGCAGGCAUGGAAAGAUUUCUCCUCAUGGUGGUACGGGGUGGUGCUGGUGCUGGGGAAGUGGUGGGUGUGAGGAGUGCUGCAGAGGGGGGUUGGGGCAGGGCUGUCCUACAUCCCUGUGCUCUGGUGGAUGAGCACACUGUCAGUGCUCAGAGCGCUUUCUCAAGUACUCGUCCCUUUUUCAUAGGACACCUUUGGAGAUGAAAGCCUGUGAAUCUUCUUUAGCCACUCUGGGGAGCACAGCCUUCAGAGGACUUCUAUAAUUUCUCUAAACCUGUGAUCAAAUGCCAAGUAAAUGAGCUAGGAAGCUGUCAAAAAAAAAAAAACAAAAAACCCACAAACACAAAAAAAAAACCCUUGCAGUAACCAUUUAUGAAGACAGGUUUUCAAGGCAAUAGCAGGAGGCUUUGUGAUAUGCCCUGUCACUGCUGGAAAGCUGAUGUCAUGGCACACUGGGCUCCUCAAAACCCAUUGUAAAGCGACUCCUGAGACACAGCAAUUACACUGACUGACACGCUGGGACUCAGAUCUCCCCUGCUUAGUGCAAACUGUGUUGGGGCAAUGCCUGCUGAGCCCAGCACAUGCCUUCCAGUUAGUGGAUCAGGCAGGGAAAGAAAACGUGCUGUGCCCAAGUUGCAUGAGCUCCAUUUCCAUGCUGCUGGGAGGGAUGGAUGGCUUUUAGCUGCUGCAGGAACGCUGCACAGGGACCAGCCUGGCCACCCCCAAUGGGAUAAAUUAGUGCUUUAUGCCCUCUUGUCUGCUGAGUUUAUCGGUGUCUGCUGGUAAUGCACAUGCUGCUUUGGAGGAAAUUUAUCACACGCAGAGGAAGGACAAGAGGAUAAUCUUAGAAAAAGGCUUCAUCUGUGCUAGCAAAUUAGUAAGACUUUGGGCUAGAAAUUGACAGUAAAUGUGCUGCCUCCAAAUGCUGUCUAUAAGUAAACUGAACCUAUUAAAAUAAAUGGGCUAUAAGUCUGUUAAUAUAACGUGCAUUUGAGGAUCCCACACAGCCCUUAUGCAGCCACAGCUUUCAUUCUGUUCGUUCUUCUUCAGCAGUUUCUUUUCUUAAUCACCCCUCCUAGAGCUGCAGCAGAUUCAAUCCAGUUGUCACACAUCCCAUUAGCAUUAAUCGGGUCUUGGGCCAGAAAUGAACUUCAUCCCUUAGACUACAGUUCCGUGCUGCUUCAAUUUACAAAUUAAGCAUUGCUGCAGAGCAGCUGUGUGAUUGCUGCCACUGCAUGCAGGGGGCAAAGCGAGCUGGAGGGAAGGGGACAAGGAAGGAGCUUUGAGCGCACAGUGGUUGGUUAUUCUGCAGUAGCAGCCCCAGAAGCUGUGCAUCUCAGAUGCAGGUGAAUGUAUUUGCAAGAGUUUUUCUAAUGUGGAUUCAAGAGUAAAUCAACCCAUCAAAGAUGGAUUGGGCCCUAAUCCACUGCAGGAAGGUUUCUGAGGCAGGAAUAUGGGCUGCAAGGAGCCAUGGUGUUGUACUUAUCUCCCUAAUAUGAAAGGAAGAUCCAAAAGAAGCAGGCUACUAUAAUUAAGAAAAUGUUAAAAUAACCAGUUACUCCUCCUGGAAUUAGACUUGCUGCUUUUAAAAUUUCAUUAGAUGGGAAUCUAAGUCACAGAGAACGUAUACGUAAUCACAACUGCAUAGUUCAAAGAGCCCUCUCAAAAGUGGGAUGCCCAAAAGUAUGACCUACCUUUGCUUCCAUUUCAGAUUUCCAGGGAGUUAUUAAAAAUUAAAGAUGCCUUUAAGGAGCUUCCCAGAAAACUGCUUAAAUGUAGGACAUAGUGUACCAGCAGGUUACAAACUGAAGCAACUUUUAUGCAAUAUAUUCUGCUACAAAGCAAUUCUGUUCAAAGUAUUUAAAGUAUUUCAAUUAAGAAAAAUAAUGGUCAAGGACAAACAACAUUUUAGUAGGAGGUGAUUAGAUUAUUUCUAUGGUUACUGUGCUGAAGCUGCAGCUUGAAUUAAAGUUUUAAGAUCCACGUUACUUUUAUUACAAAAUUGAAGCUAAUGACUAAUUUUUCCAAAGACCAAAAAGUUCCUUUUAAAGGAUGGGAUGUAGAGGAGAGUCCAAGGCAUGAGGUAGCUUGAUCUGUUUGAAGUCCCUUGCAUGCUUUUACAGAAAAUGUGAUGAUGGUUUUAAGAAUUCAGCGUUUAGAUCACAACACAACCAACAGGGAUAGAAGUAUGUAAACACACCAUCCCAGACUUCUGCAUUCGGAGCCUGAGGGUUUGCUGUGUGUUUGGAGGGAUGGUGCUUGUUGCCUUUUUUUACUCAAUAGCUCUGAGACAGCAUCCCAUCACCCCUCUCCAUCUUGUCAGUGCUUCAGGAACAAGGUGGCUGUCUUCCCUGUAAUUGGUGGUGAGGCAGCACAGUGGUGCCCAGCUUUCUUACCAAGAGCCACCAUCUGUGUAACAUUAAAAAUAAUCAAGGCUCUCAUCUUUGUGAAGAAAGGAAAUUAGCUGAAGCACAGCGGUUGCCCUUUUUGCUAAACAAACAUGGGCAAAAGAUGCCAAAAAGAGCAACCAAGGACCACUCUCUCUGGUGCUUACACUGGCAGUGCCUGGGCUCAGUCUCACCAGUGCUCUGGUGGUGCCCACCUCCAGCAGAGAUGGGGCUGUGCUGCUGCUCCUGGCUCCACUCAUCUGCUCUGAGGGUGCUGCAGAGAAUUCCCCUGCAUCAGCAGCUUGUGCCUUGCACAAAGAAGAAAAUGAUACAGCACAGAAGUACAGUUACAGAAAUGGAAAGAUAAAAGAUGAAGUGAGAAUAUUGGAAACCAAGUCUCCCAAUGAGGCCCUCAUCAGCAUUUGGUCAGUAAAGGUGAUGACGUGAGGAUGAGAAUGUUCUUAUUUCUCAUGAAAGCUUAUAAUGGUCAGUAUUCAUUUCCAUUUCUUUCGGGACAGAAGUUGAUGUCAGAUGCCCCCUGCUUCAGCCUCACACUGGGACCUGGAGCACAGCUGGUGGCAGUGCUGAGCUUGGCUUCCCCAGCCUGCCAGGUCCUCCUGCUCUUCUGCAGCCUCUGCAGUCACAAACCACCAAUCAGUUUUGUCAUUUCGUGCUCAAAUUUACUUACUUACAGUGUUACUUUGUUUUUAC
Lagopus muta (rock ptarmigan) is the source of this 3950-nucleotide long non-coding RNA. RefSeq lists it as uncharacterized. Lineage: Eukaryota; Metazoa; Chordata; Aves; Galliformes; Phasianidae. The transcript is spliced from 5 exons. The record is from RefSeq and is a predicted model, not a curated record.